AUUGAACGCUGGCGGCAGGCCUAACACAUGCAAGUCGAGCGGAUGAAGGGAGCUUGCUCCUGGUUUCAGCGGCGGACAGGUGAGUAUUGCCUAUGAAUCUGCUUGGCAGUGGGGGAUAACGUCCGGAAAAGGGCGCUAAUACCGCAUACGUCCAGAGGCUGAAUGUGGGUGAUCUUCGGACCUCUCGCUCUGUGAUGAGCCUAGGUCGGAGUAGCUAGUUGGUGGGGUAAAGGCCUACCAAGCCGACGAUCCGUAACUGGCCUGAGAGGAUGAUCAGUCACCCUGGAAGUUAGACGCGGUCCUGGCUCCUAAGGGAGGGAGCAGAGGGGUACGGUGGACAGUAGGCGAAAACCUGAUCCAACCGGGCCGCGUGUGUGGAGAAGGUCCUCGGAUUGUGAAGAACUUUUUGUUGGGGUGAAGGGCAGUAGGUUGAUACGAUGCUGUUUUGACGUUACCAAGAGAAUAAGCACCGGCUAACUUCGUG
This 484-nucleotide ribosomal RNA is filed under the name uncultured bacterium. RNAcentral describes it as "partial 16S ribosomal RNA". It matches the Rfam family "Bacterial small subunit ribosomal RNA", at positions 30 to 507 of the family's 1533-position model. The record is from RNAcentral.